CGCACAUUGCGCCCUUUGGUAUUCCGAAGGGCAUGCCUGUUCGAGCGUCAUUUGCACCCUCAAGCUCUGCUUGGUGUUGGAGGCCGCCCCGGCGGGGCGCCCCCGAAACGCAGCGGCGACGUAGCCGGACUCCCUGGCGUAGUGACAACGGCCUCGCUCCGGAGCUCCGGUCGUGCGUUUGCCGGACAACGCCCACUAUUACAUUGAAAUCGACCUCGGAUCAGGUAGGAUUACCCGCUGAACUUAA
Molecule: unclassified non-coding RNA, 247 nt
Filed under: Cryptodiscus epicladonia
Lineage: Eukaryota; Fungi; Ascomycota; Lecanoromycetes; Ostropales; Stictidaceae
Description: partial contains 5.8S ribosomal RNA, internal transcribed spacer 2, and large subunit ribosomal RNA
Source: RNAcentral